RNAcentral lists this ribosomal RNA (254 nucleotides) under uncultured bacterium. RNAcentral's name for it is "partial 16S ribosomal RNA". It matches the Rfam family "Bacterial small subunit ribosomal RNA", at positions 524 to 776 of the family's 1533-position model. The record is from RNAcentral.
UACGAAGGGGGCUAGCGUUGUUCGGAUUUACUGGGCGUAAAGCGCACGUAGGCGGAUCGAUCAGUCAGGGGUGAAAUCCCGAGGGCUCAACCCUGGAACUGCCUUUGAUACUGUCGAUCUGGAGUAUGGAAGAGGUGAGUGGAAUUCCGAGUGUAGAGGUGAAAUUCGUAGAUAUUCGCAAGAACACCAGUGGCGAAGGCGGCUCACUGGCCCGAUACUGACGCUGAGGUGCGAAAGCGUGGGGAGCAAACAGG